This 253-nucleotide ribosomal RNA is filed under the name uncultured bacterium. RNAcentral's name for it is "partial 16S ribosomal RNA". It matches the Rfam family "Bacterial small subunit ribosomal RNA", at positions 524 to 776 of the family's 1533-position model. The record is from RNAcentral.
AACGUAGGAGGCGAGCGUUAUCCGGAUUUAUUGGGCGUAAAGCGCAUGCAGGUGGUCUUACAAGUCGGAUGUGAAAGCCCCUGGCUUAACUGGGGGAGUGCGUUCGAAACUGUGAGACUGGAGGCCGGAAGAGGAAAGCGGAAUUCCCGGUGUAGUGGUGGAAUGCGUAGAUAUCGGGAGGAACACCAGUGGCGAAGGCGGCUUUCUGGUCCGGGCCUGACACUCAGAUGCGAAAGCGUGGGGAGCGAACAGG